CCCCCUAGGGGACUUGCCUCCAUUUGAUAGAUAGGGGCGGAGGCUCCGUGGGCAUGUGAUUGACUCAGCGCCUCAGCACUGCUGCCUGUGAGUCCUGGGCUGAGGGAGCCAACAGGAAGGGUGGUUAUUUUCUUUACUGGAAAGACGGGGAAAGGCUUCCCAGAGAAGCCCUCACCCAGGUCCUUAGCCUGGAGUUCAAGGACCUGCACCGGUAAUUCUACGGAAAGCCUCAGAGCAGCAGGAAGCACAGAGUGGAGGAUCCAGCAGGGAAAGCCUCUUCCUUCACAAGAGGACUUAGCCAACCUCAGGCCAGGCAACACUCUGUAUCCUCCAGUCUCUCCUGGAAGCCCUCUGCCCUCCGACCUGCUAGUGAUGGGUACAGAUUGCUUGUGUGCACACUUGAGAGAAUUAGGUACUUUGCGCCUGCGGUUCUUCACUGGCUCUGGCUCCCCCGCGAGUAGACCACAGGAACUGCAGUCGAGCCAAACCGGCUCCGCCCACUCCCGGCAGAGUUCCGGGAGGAGGAGCAACUUCGACAAACUCCUCCGCCAAUCGCUCUAUAAUGCACUUGUGGGCCUCCUCCGCUGCGGAGUACUCGGCGUACUCGCAUGCGCUGGGUUUCCCUCAAAUAACUUUCCUUGCUGAUGACAGAGUUGCUCUCUAAAGUUGGGGUGUCCCAGUAGACACUGGCCCGAAAGCCGUCCUCGGGUCUCAUCGGCGGCUGCAGCCCCAUCCGAGAUGCAGCACUGGGUGAGACACCCGGUGCUCUGAAGACCGCAGAGCUCGCCCUUGGAGAAGCACCGCUGGAUUUCACUUUGAACUCUCACCUGCUUGCGGUUUCCCAGGGAAAGUGUGGAGACAUAGACUGUUUCCAGGCAGCAGUGGAUGCAGGAGGAAGGUGAUAAAGCUGCUCAGGGCCAUGGACAUCAAGGAUGGCAGCUGGGCAGCUGUGGCAGCCUAUGCUCCCUGGGAUCUCUGCUUCCACCUGGGAGCCCAGGGCUUGGAGAGUGACCUACCACCAGCUGUCUGCAGUUUUGACUCCAUCAAGGUCCUGUCCACCUACCAGAUACUCAUGCUGUGGCUCUUGAAUCAGAUCACCUGGGUUAGAACCCUGGCUCCAUCACUUACCCUGCGAGUCUCUUGAGACAAGGCUGGUUCAAUCUGGAUUCAGGCAAUCUGAAGAAGAGCAGAGGCACCUUGGGUAUGUCAGACAUCCCCUUAAUGGCUUCACAAAUGGCGGUGGUACAGAAAGUCCUGUCCACCUUUUAUACUGGUACAGAACAAAGCCUGCAAUUUGCCAAGGCGUU
Phacochoerus africanus (Common warthog) is the source of this 1307-nucleotide long non-coding RNA. RefSeq lists it as uncharacterized. The record is from RefSeq and is a predicted model, not a curated record. The transcript has 4 exons. Lineage: Eukaryota; Metazoa; Chordata; Mammalia; Artiodactyla; Suidae.